RNAcentral lists this ribosomal RNA (497 nucleotides) under uncultured bacterium. Its description in RNAcentral is "partial 16S ribosomal RNA". It matches the Rfam family "Bacterial small subunit ribosomal RNA", at positions 28 to 507 of the family's 1533-position model. The record is from RNAcentral.
GAUGAACGCUGGCGGCGUGCCUAAUACAUGCCAGUCGAGCGAACAGACGAGGAGCUUGCUCCUCUGACGUUAGCGGCGGACGGGUGAGUAACACGUGGAUAACCUACCUAUAAGACUGGGAUAACUUCGGGAAACCGGAGCUAAUACCGGAUAAUAUAUUGAACCGCAUGGUUCAAUAGUGAAAGACGGUUUUGCUGUCACUUAUAGAUGGAUCCGCGCCGAAUUAGCUAGUUGGUAAGGUAACGGCUUACCAAGGCAACGAUGCGUAGCCGACCUGAGAGGGUGAUCGGCCACACUGGAACUGAGACACGGUCCAGACUCCUGCGGAAGGCAGCAGUAGGGAAUCUUCCGCAAUGGGCGAAAGCCUGACGGUGCAACGCCGCGUGAGUGAUGAAGGUCUUCGGAUCGGAGAACUCUGUUAUUAGGGAAGAACAAAUGUGUAAGUACCUAUGCACGUCUUGACGGUACCUAAUCAGAAAGCCACGGCUAACUACGUG